CCUACGGGUGGCAGCAGUGGGGAAUAUUGCACAAUGGGCGAAAGCCUGAUGCAGCAACGCCGCGUGAGCGAUGAAGGCCUUCGGGUCGUAAAGCUCUGUCCUAAGGGAAGAAUACUGACGGUACCUUAGGAGGAAGCCCCGGCUAACUACGUGCCAGCAGCCGCGGUAAUAAGUAGGGGGCUAGCGUUAUACGGAAGGACUGGGCGUAAAGGGUGCGAAGGCGGCCCUUCAAGGCAGAGGUGAAAGGCGACGGCGCAACCGUAGUAAGCCUUUGAAACUGUAGGGCUGGAGUGGAGGAGAGGAGAGUGGAAGUCCCAGUGUAGCGGUGAAAUGCGUAGAUUUUGGGAGGGACACCAGUUGCGAAGGAGGCUCUCUGGACUGUAACUGACGCUGAGGCACGAAAGCGUGGGGGGCGAACAGGAUUAGAUACCCUAGUAGUC
RNAcentral lists this ribosomal RNA (440 nucleotides) under uncultured bacterium. Its description in RNAcentral is "bacterial SSU rRNA". It matches the Rfam family "Bacterial small subunit ribosomal RNA", at positions 338 to 795 of the family's 1533-position model. The record is from RNAcentral.